This is a long non-coding RNA of Syzygium oleosum, 464 nucleotides long. RefSeq lists it as uncharacterized. The transcript is spliced from 2 exons. The record is from RefSeq and is a predicted model, not a curated record. NCBI's taxonomy places the organism in Eukaryota, Viridiplantae, Streptophyta, Magnoliopsida, Myrtales, Myrtaceae.
UCUGGAAACUCUUUAUUGACAGAUUGCUCCCGCAUAAUGGAGCCCUGUGAUUGAUUUGAUGUUUCGUAUGGAUGAUGCAGAACUGGACAAGAUGCUUUGCCCUACUUCCAAGUUCCAAUUCUUAUCUUUCAGGUCAUAUUCCUGUAAAGUUGGACGGAUUCUGGAAUGAGAUGAUGAUGAAUGGAAGAGACGACAGACGUGUAAUGCAGGGCGGUCUUGGCUAAGUGGACCCUGGCUUCCAGGCUUUUGAUGUGACUUAAGGUCUUGGUUUCAAGCGACAAAGCUGCUUCUCGGUACUAUAAAGAUCUUUCCCAUUUCGUGGACCGACUGUGUACAAGGAAUCCCCGAACAUAGUGUUGAGAUAGUUUUACGUGCAGCUUUUAUUUUAAGACUAAUGUGUUGUGCUAAGAAUCGUUAUGUUUUGAUAUGGUAAUAUGAAUAAAAUAUAGUGAAGCGUGUAUUCA